Molecule: transfer RNA, 88 nt
Filed under: Candidatus Melainabacteria bacterium
Lineage: Bacteria; Bacillati; Candidatus Melainabacteria
Description: tRNA-Ser
Rfam family: tRNA
About the family: Transfer RNA (tRNA) molecules are approximately 80 nucleotides in length. Their secondary structure includes four short double-helical elements and three loops (D, anti-codon, and T loops). Further hydrogen bonds mediate the characteristic L-shaped molecular structure. tRNAs have two regions of fundamental functional importance: the anti-codon, which is responsible for specific mRNA codon recognition, and the 3' end, to which the tRNAs corresponding amino acid is attached (by aminoacyl-tRNA synthetases). tRNAs cope with the degeneracy of the genetic code in two manners: having more than one tRNA (with a specific anti-codon) for a particular amino acid; and 'wobble' base-pairing, i.e. permitting non-standard base-pairing at the 3rd anti-codon position.
Source: RNAcentral
GGACAGAUGUCCGAGUGGCCGAAGGAGCAGACCUGGAAAGUCUGUAUACCCCAAAAGGGUAUCGAGGGUUCGAAUCCCUCUCUGUCCG